UACAUGGGGUGCAAACGUUGCUCGGAAUUAUUGGGCGUAAAGCGCACGUAGGCGGUUUGUUAAGUCGGAUGUGAAAUCCCUCGGCUCAACUGAGGAAGUGCAUCCGGAACUGGCAGGCUUGAGUACUAAAGAGGGUCGCGGAAUUCCCGGUGUAGAGGUGAAAUUCGUAGAUAUCGGGAGGAACACCGGUGGCGAAGGCGGCGACCUGGGUAGAUACUGACGCUGAGGUGCGAAAGCGUGGGGAGCAAACAGG
RNAcentral lists this ribosomal RNA (253 nucleotides) under uncultured bacterium. RNAcentral's name for it is "partial 16S ribosomal RNA". It matches the Rfam family "Bacterial small subunit ribosomal RNA", at positions 524 to 776 of the family's 1533-position model. The record is from RNAcentral.